UGGCGGCGUGGAUUAGGCAUGCAAGUCGAACGGGACUUUAUGUUGUAGCAAUACUUUAUAAAGUCUAGUGGCGUAAGGGUGAGUAACACGUGGGUAACGUACCCGAUAGUUUUGGGAUAACGUUCCGAAAGGGACGCUAAUACCGGAUGUGAUGUUAAAACGCUGGUUUUAACAAGAAAGGUGGGGACCGCAAGGCCUGCCGCUAACGGAACGGCCCGCGACCUAUUAGCUAGUUGGUGGGGUAAAGGCCUACCAAGGCGAGGAUGGGUAGCCGAACUGAGAGGUUGACCCGGCCACACUGGGACUGAGACACUGCCCAGACUUCUACGGAAGGCUGCAGUCGAGAAUCAUUCACAAUGGACGAAAGUCUGAUGAUGCGACGCCGCGUGCCGCGAUGAAGGUCUUCGGAUUGUAAAGCGCUUUGAACAGGGAAGAAUGCCGCGUAUUUAAUAGAUAACGCGGAGGGACAGUACCUGACAAACAAGCCCCGGCUAAUUUCGUGCCAGCCGCCGC
RNAcentral lists this ribosomal RNA (513 nucleotides) under uncultured bacterium. Its description in RNAcentral is "bacterial SSU rRNA". It matches the Rfam family "Bacterial small subunit ribosomal RNA", at positions 37 to 518 of the family's 1533-position model. The record is from RNAcentral.